UAAAGUUUGUAUACAGCUCUAAGUAAAUUUAUAAGUGCUUUUGGUUAAUUAGUAGUUUUCCUCGGUGAUAACUUUGAAACCUACUGCGAUUUUCAGAUGCUGUCAGGAGAAAACAUUGAGAAACAUCGGCUGAGAAUAUGAAGAAGGAACUCAAUCAAGAAGUGGCUGCAGCAAGCCACACCCAGAUUGAUGAAGAGGUCUAACAGACAGCAAGCAACACCCGCUGCUGAAGAGUGUUCUGAUGACUGAAUACUGUACGAAUUGUAAUUUAAACCUGUGUAAAUAUUUUCAGAAUAUAAAAUGUUAAGUGCA
Long non-coding RNA from Macrosteles quadrilineatus (aster leafhopper), 312 nucleotides. RefSeq lists it as uncharacterized. The record is from RefSeq and is a predicted model, not a curated record. Lineage: Eukaryota; Metazoa; Arthropoda; Insecta; Hemiptera; Cicadellidae. The transcript has 3 exons.